Molecule: transfer RNA, 85 nt
Filed under: Felis catus (domestic cat)
Lineage: Eukaryota; Metazoa; Chordata; Mammalia; Carnivora; Felidae
Rfam family: tRNA
About the family: Transfer RNA (tRNA) molecules are approximately 80 nucleotides in length. Their secondary structure includes four short double-helical elements and three loops (D, anti-codon, and T loops).
Source: Rfam by way of RNAcentral
GCCCGGGGGGCUCAGUCGGUUGAGCGUCUGACUUCGGCUCAGGUCGUGACCUCGUGGUUUGUGGGUUCGAGCCCCCCAUCGGGCU